AACGAACGCUGGCGGCAGGCUUAACACAUGCAAGUCGAGCGAGAUCUUCGGGUCUAGCGGCGGACGGGUGAGUAACGCGUGGGAACGUGCCCUUUGCUACGGAAUAGUCCUGGGAAACUGGGGGUAAUACCGUAUACGCCCUUUUGGGGAAAGAUUUAUCGGCGGAAGGAUCGGCCCGCGUUGGAUUAGGUAGUUGGUGG
Molecule: ribosomal RNA, 200 nt
Filed under: uncultured bacterium
Lineage: Bacteria
Description: partial 16S ribosomal RNA
Rfam family: Bacterial small subunit ribosomal RNA
Source: RNAcentral